GAAAGCGCCCUCUAAGGUUACCCUUAGAGGGCGCUUUUGAAAAAGCGCUCUCUAAGUCCAUGUACAUUUCCAGUUUAGAAGGCGCUUUUGGAAAGCCUUAGAGAGCGCUUUCAGAAGCGCCCUCUUAGGCCCCCUUUAGAGGGCGCUUUUUUUAAAAAAGCGCCCUCUAAGGUCCCCUUUAGUAAACAUUAAAAAUAUAACAUAUACUGCAUGUCUCUUUAUUUUCCCUCUCUAUAAGCUAUUUCGUUUUCUCUCAACUGCGAUUACUCUCUACUGCGAUUACUCCCUCACCGUUCAUCGUUCGUUCUCCCUCCCUCACCGUCAUCGUCGCCGUUCGUUCUCCCUCCCUCACCGUUCACGUUCACUGCGUUAUCCUCUUCCACCGUCACUGUUCACUUUCUUCUCCAUCGUUACCGUCACCUUUAAGGUAUUUCUCUUCUCCAUCGUUACCGUUCACUUUCUUCAUGUGUUUGAUUAUGGCAUUUUCUAAACUUAGUUUUUCAUUUUGUGCAUUAUGUUGAUUAAUGUUGUUUAGGGCAAACUGAGUUUUUUAUUUCUGAUUGAAAACUGAUAUAUUUGAAGUGUGUUUGAG
This 592-nucleotide long non-coding RNA is filed under the name Lathyrus oleraceus (garden pea). RNAcentral describes it as "Pisum sativum (pea) long non-coding RNA (PSAT_LNC042112)". Lineage: Eukaryota; Viridiplantae; Streptophyta; Magnoliopsida; Fabales; Fabaceae. The record is from RNAcentral.